Molecule: long non-coding RNA, 1534 nt
Filed under: Capsicum annuum
Lineage: Eukaryota; Viridiplantae; Streptophyta; Magnoliopsida; Solanales; Solanaceae
Description: long non-coding RNA (CANN_LNC011534)
Source: RNAcentral
UUAAUUCGUGUCUUGCUUUAAGUGUGCAUUACGAGUAAAUACUUAGUAACUUUCAACAUACAUAAAAUUCAAAAACUAGUCACACUCCUCGUGGAUUUGAUCUCAACUCAAAUUGGGUUAUUAUAUUGACAACAAUCUUCUUGUCCCAAAAUAAUGAAGUAAGUUAAGCGUGAUCAAUCAACACCAAAAAUCAGUCACCAAUUUGUUUAGACAAAUACUUAAAAGUGUUUAUAUAUUUGCACCUAAAAACAACAUAACUAAAUCUACUCAAUUGUAAUCACUUUGUUUUCAUCUGGAGUAAUGAAGUUGGGUUUAGGUAUUGGUGGAUCUUCACUGUCACUAACAUAGCCAUUCUCAGCCUUGACAUGUCCAUAAUUGUACAGGAGUAAAGCAUAUCUCAUUCAAAGAAAUUUAGCAUCAAUCCUAGAAUAUGAUACUUGUUGUCCAUCACUUAGAAACUUAGCGAACAAAGCAACAAAUAGUCCACAAUUCCUGCAUAAUUUAUCAUUUAUUAGUAGGCUAAAAUAUUUGCGUGGUACAUGAAUAGAAAAUGUUAAAUAAAAACGAUGCAAGAAAACUGUAGUGUAACAAAUCUAAAAAUAAUAAAUACAUAAUUCUGCACAUGUAACACAACUAAAAUAAACAACACAUGUAACAUAACUAAAAUAAACAACACAAGUAAUAUAACUAAUAUAACAAGAGAUACAUAAUUUUACACAUGUAACAUAACUAAAAUUAACAGGAGAGACAUAAUUCUACAUAGUUAACAAAUUAAAAUUAACGAGAGAUGCAAAAUUUUACCUACGUAAUUAACUAAAAAUAACAAUAGAUACAUAAUCAUGCACUUGUAACUGACUAAAAAUACGAAGAGAUAAAAAGAGAUAUAAGAAAACUAAACUAAACAUUCGAGAGAUACAAACGUAUUCUUAGUUAAUAAACUCGGAUAACAAGAGAUACAAAAAAAUUGCAUAGGUAUUUUUGUUUGAGAUACAAGAAAACUAUAUUAGUAAUUUGCUUAAUAUACAAACAUAUAAUACCUUCAUAAAAGAUUUUCUUGAUGUAACUUCAACAUCUCUUCGUUUUGCAUCACGAGAAAUACAUUUAGAAGCACCAUGGACACUUCUUUCGCCAUCAGAACCAACUUUCUUCUUUAUUUUAAGUGCUUUCUUUAAUUUCUUCAACGUAAUGAGAUAGUUGUUAUUUUUUGAUCGACUUUUGUUCAACGCUUCAAAUUACACAGCUUUAAACAACAAUGAAAAUAAACUAAUUUAAGAGAAAUAAGGAUAAAAGUCUACUGUGGAUGAAUCGAUUCACGGUAACUUUGAACCUCAUUUUUUCAACAACAAUGAAAGUUUAUUGUUUUUAUCUCAAGAAAUUUUAAAUUUGUUGAGAUGAAAAAUAAAGAUGAAGAUGGGAGAAACUUGCAUAAUUCAAAAAUUGGAUAAUAGGAAAAUAAUUACAGCAAUUACUGCAUGAUUUGCGCCGCACCUUUAAAAUUCUGAAGGAGUUGAGAUAAUAAUGACAAGAAAUCAGC